RNAcentral lists this ribosomal RNA (484 nucleotides) under uncultured bacterium. RNAcentral describes it as "partial 16S ribosomal RNA". It matches the Rfam family "Bacterial small subunit ribosomal RNA", at positions 30 to 507 of the family's 1533-position model. The record is from RNAcentral.
AUUGAACGCUGGCGGCAGGCCUAACACAUGCAAGUCGAGCGGAUGAAGGGAGCUUGCUCCUGGAUUCAGCGGCGGACGGGUGAGUAAUGCCUAGGAAUCUGCCCGGUAGUGGGGGAUAACGUCCGGAAACGGGCGCUAAUACCGCAUACGUCCUGAGGGAGAAAGUGGGGGAUCUUCGGACCUCACGCUAUCAGAUGAGCCCAGGUCGGAUUAGCUAGUUGGUGGGGUAAAGGCCUACCAAGGCGACGAUCCGUAACUGGUCUGAGAGGAUGAUCAGUCACACUGGAACUGAGACACGGUCCAGACUCCUACGGGAGGCAGCAGUGGGGAAUAUUGGACAAUGGGCGAAAGCCUGAUCCAGCCAUGCCGCGUGUGUGAAGAAGGUCUUCGGAUUGUAAAGCACUUUAAGUUGGGAGGAAGGGCAGUAAGUUAAUACCUUGCUGUUUUGACGUUACCAACAGAAUAAGCACCGGCUAACUUCGUG